Molecule: long non-coding RNA, 1066 nt
Organism: Schistocerca gregaria
Lineage: Eukaryota; Metazoa; Arthropoda; Insecta; Orthoptera; Acrididae
Exons: 3
Source: RefSeq, a predicted model, not a curated record
UUUUUUUUUAAAAAACCCUACACAUUACUGUCUUAAUAACCUAUUGCUCAGCCACACGGCAUUGACUGUGUGAGCGUUGACCUCAGUGAUUACGUAACCGCUUAUCGCUUUCUGUUUACAAACAUUACAAGCGCAGACGCGUGCUGCUAUAAAGACUACUACAGCACGCGUCCGGAAUAACAUCCCACACUGUGGACUCGGAAAAUUCUGACCGCUAGCGUGAGCCGAGAACCGCUGGUCGUACAUUGGGAACAUUGUCGCCUGUAUAGGCGGUUACUUGUCAGGACCUACGGUUAACAUUUCAAUAACCCAACUGACAAAAAGCAUCUGAAUCACAUUUUUCUGUUGCCUAAUAUACCGAUAAUUUGAAAUACCAUUGACAAGAAGUGGAGAAGUUGCUACAGCAUCCUUACAACAUCUUCCUCAGAAGUAAGGCUCAUUUCCCAUCUUGAUUACUGGCUGCUCUAUGUACCUCUCCACAUUUAGAAGAGAUAAUUGUGAAGAUUCAAGAUGACUCUUGAGGAACUCACAGCUUAAGAGAGCCAUAAUUUAUAACAUAAGUGUGCAAAAUCAGUAUUGGUACAGUGAAUCACUGAAGUCAUUACAUGAUUUGAAAGGGAUAAUAAAUGUGAAGUACACCUUGUUUAAGUCACCCUAUACCACAAUUUUCUACUGUGCAUUUAGUGAUAACGACUUGCUAGUGUGCGAUAUUGAUCUGUCAAUCUCUGCCACCAUGUAAUUGUGAUUGUGAUAACAGAGUGACCUGUAGCGUAGCCAAGGUCAUGUUAGGUUGGAAGACUGCAAGUUUUAAGGUUGAUAAUGUGCAAGUGAAAACAGUGGAAAAAACUGCUCUUGCAGUUGGCACUAGAUCUAGUAUUUAUGCAAUAUUUGAAAACACAGACAAAUGUUUAACUACAUAUUGUACUGUCUGAAAAAAAUAUCCAUUUUGUGAAUACAGUUGUUAAAACAUUUGAUAAAUUUACAUAAUAGACACCAGAUUGCAUUUUUAGUAGUUUAUGUUCGAUGUAUGUGUGUAAUAUGCAUCAAUAUACUCAUCAGAGCCUUA